UACAGAGGUGGCAAGCGUUGUUCGGAAUUACUGGGCGUAAAGCGCGUGUAGGCGGCUCUUCAAGUCAGGCGUGAAAGCCCUGGGCUCAACCUGGGAAUGGCAUUGGAAACUGGCGACCUAGAGUGCGGUAGAGGGCAGUGGAAUUCCCGGUGUAGCAGUGAAAUGCGUAGAGAUCGGGAGGAACAUCUGUGGCGAAGGCGGCGUUCUGGACUGCAUCUGACACUGAAAGACGAAAGCCAGGGGAGCAAACGGG
Molecule: ribosomal RNA, 253 nt
Filed under: uncultured bacterium
Lineage: Bacteria
Description: partial 16S ribosomal RNA
Rfam family: Bacterial small subunit ribosomal RNA
Source: RNAcentral